This 77-nucleotide transfer RNA is filed under the name Blastocatellia bacterium. RNAcentral describes it as "tRNA-Pro". It matches the Rfam family "tRNA". From Rfam's summary of the family: Transfer RNA (tRNA) molecules are approximately 80 nucleotides in length. Their secondary structure includes four short double-helical elements and three loops (D, anti-codon, and T loops). Further hydrogen bonds mediate the characteristic L-shaped molecular structure. tRNAs have two regions of fundamental functional importance: the anti-codon, which is responsible for specific mRNA codon recognition, and the 3' end, to which the tRNAs corresponding amino acid is attached (by aminoacyl-tRNA synthetases). tRNAs cope with the degeneracy of the genetic code in two manners: having more than one tRNA (with a specific anti-codon) for a particular amino acid; and 'wobble' base-pairing, i.e. permitting non-standard base-pairing at the 3rd anti-codon position. RNAcentral also lists the same sequence under 2 other names. The record is from RNAcentral. Lineage: Bacteria; Pseudomonadati; Acidobacteriota; Blastocatellia.
CGGGACGUAGCGCAGCCUGGUAGCGCGUUCGCUUGGGGUGCGAGAGGUCGCAAGUUCAAAUCUUGUCGUCCCGACCA